This 1089-nucleotide ribosomal RNA is filed under the name Triticum aestivum (bread wheat). RNAcentral describes it as "partial small subunit ribosomal RNA". Lineage: Eukaryota; Viridiplantae; Streptophyta; Magnoliopsida; Poales; Poaceae. The record is from RNAcentral.
AUGGACGUGGUGACUGGUGCCAUGGAAAGCCUACUUCCCAAGCUGGGUGAGCUGCUCGUUGGGGAGUACCGCCUACAGAAGGGCGUGAAGAAAGAUGUCGAGUCCCUUGAGAGAGAGAUGAAGAGCAUGCACGCUGCUCUUACAAAGGUGGCCAAGGUGCCAAGGGACCAGCUCGACCAGCAAGUCAAGAUCUGGGCAGAUGAAAUCAGGGAGCUGUCGUACGACGCAGAGGAUGUCGUUGACAAGUUCCUGGUGUCUAUCGAGGGAUCUAAUCCUACAGUCAACUCGAGCAAGCUCAAAGGGCUAAUGGAGAAGAUCACCAGCUUGUUCACCAAAGGCAAGACUCGCCAUCUGAUUGCCAAUGCAAUCAAGGACAUCAAGGACCGUGCCCAAGAGGUGGCUGACCUGCGUGACAGAUGCAAAGUCGACGAUGCUGUUGCCAAUGCAGCUAGCAUAAACAAUACCAUUGAUCCUCGUAUAUUGGCUUUAUACAAGGAUCAGAAAGAUCUCGUUGGCAUUGAAGACGCAAGGGACCAGCUAACCGAGAGGCUUACACAUGAUGAAGGAGAUACGUCAAAUCAGCCGCUCCAGAUAGUCUCUAUUGUUGGACCCGGAGGACUCGGUAAGACAACUCUUGCCAAGGCAGUGUAUGAUAGUCUUCAAACACAAUUUAAUUGCAAGGCUUUUGUUCCGGUGGGUCGAAACCCUAAUGUGAGCAAAGUUCUCAAGGACAUACUCCUGGAACUGGAACUGGGUAACUCUAUGAGUGAUAUAGCCACAUUAGAUGAAAGACAAGUCAUCAACAAACUCCGAGAUCUACUUCAAGAUAAGAGGUACUUUAUUAUUAUCGAUGACAUAUGGGAUUUAAAAGCAUGGGGAAUAAUCAAAUGUGCUUUGUUGGAUAACAAUCGUGGAAGUCGAGUAAUCACAACUACUCGCAUUCUUGAAGUUGCUGCAAAUACCGGCAAUGUCUACAAGCUAGAACCGCUUUCUCCUGAUUUGUCUGAAGAACUAUUCUAUACAAGAUUAUUUGGUGGUAAAGACAAAUGUCCUUACCGAAAAAGGGUUUCCCUCCGCUUUAUAUUAUAA